Molecule: small nuclear RNA, 153 nt
Filed under: Anopheles sinensis
Lineage: Eukaryota; Metazoa; Arthropoda; Insecta; Diptera; Culicidae
Description: arthropod 7SK RNA
Rfam family: Arthropod 7SK RNA
Source: RNAcentral
GUGAUGGCACGAUAACUGAACAUUGAUCGCCAAAAACAGUUUAGUUUGCAGAUCUGUCCAGUGGCAUGCGUCACACUUCUAAUAGAAGAUUUUCUUCUGUGUCAUCGGUGAUCUCUCGCUGCACGGCGACGGAUCGUACGCACGAUUGAUGUC